This 728-nucleotide ribosomal RNA is filed under the name Pseudomonas sp. LL71. RNAcentral's name for it is "bacterial SSU rRNA". It matches the Rfam family "Bacterial small subunit ribosomal RNA", at positions 100 to 824 of the family's 1533-position model. The record is from RNAcentral. Lineage: Bacteria; Pseudomonadati; Pseudomonadota; Gammaproteobacteria; Pseudomonadales; Pseudomonadaceae.
GGACGGGUGAGUAAUGCCUAGGAAUCUGCCUAUUAGUGGGGGACAACGUUUCGAAAGGAACGCUAAUACCGCAUACGUCCUACGGGAGAAAGCAGGGGACCUUCGGGCCUUGCGCUAAUAGAUGAGCCUAGGUCGGAUUAGCUAGUUGGUGGGGUAAUGGCUCACCAAGGCGACGAUCCGUAACUGGUCUGAGAGGAUGAUCAGUCACACUGGAACUGAGACACGGUCCAGACUCCUACGGGAGGCAGCAGUGGGGAAUAUUGGACAAUGGGCGAAAGCCUGAUCCAGCCAUGCCGCGUGUGUGAAGAAGGUCUUCGGAUUGUAAAGCACUUUAAGUUGGGAGGAAGGGCAGUAAAUUAAUACUUUGCUGUUUUGACGUUACCGACAGAAUAAGCACCGGCUAACUCUGUGCCAGCAGCCGCGGUAAUACAGAGGGUGCAAGCGUUAAUCGGAAUUACUGGGCGUAAAGCGCGCGUAGGUGGUUUGUUAAGUUGGAUGUGAAAGCCCCGGGCUCAACCUGGGAACUGCAUCCAAAACUGGCAAGCUAGAGUACGGUAGAGGGUGGUGGAAUUUCCUGUGUAGCGGUGAAAUGCGUAGAUAUACGAAGGAACACCAGUGGCGAAGGCGACCACCUGGACUGAUACUGACACUGAGGUGCGAAAGCGUGGGGAGCAAACAAGAUUAGAUACCCUGGUAGUCCACGCGGUAAACGAUGUAAACUAACCGUU